RNAcentral lists this ribosomal RNA (449 nucleotides) under uncultured bacterium. RNAcentral's name for it is "partial 16S ribosomal RNA". It matches the Rfam family "Bacterial small subunit ribosomal RNA", at positions 29 to 523 of the family's 1533-position model. The record is from RNAcentral.
AGCGAACGCUGGCGGCAGGCCUAACACAUGCAAGUCGAACGGAUCCUUCGGGAUUAGUGGCGGACGGGUGAGGAACACGUGGGAACGUGCCUUUUGGUUCGGAACAACUCAGGGAAACUUGAGCUAAUACCGGAUAAGCCCUUCGGGGGAAAGAUUUAUCGCCAUUAGAGCGGCCCGCGUCAGAUUAGCUAGUUGGUGAGGUAAAGGCUCACCAAGGCGACGAUCAGUAGCUGGUCUGAGAGGAUGAUCAGCCACACUGGGACUGAGACACGGCCCAGACUCCUACGGGAGGCAGCAGUGGGGAAUCUUGCGCAAUGGGCGAAAGCCUGACGCAGCCAUGCCGCGUGAAUGAUGAAGGUCUUAGGAUUGUAAAAUUCUUUCACCGGGGACGAUAAUGACGGUACCCGGAGAAGAAGCCCCGGCUAACUUCGUGCCAGCCGCCGCCGUAA